CUAAACUUAGCCUGGUUGAUGCAGGCUAGUUAGUAUUCAAGCUGAAUAUUACGUGUCCUUUUUUUCUUUUUCUUUUUACAAAUUUGAGUGUCGAUUUCAUAUACUACUACAUUUUUUUGAACAGAAAAAACUGGAGAAGAGAAACAGUAAAGCCGAAGCCGACUUCAGUUCCGGACUUCAGGGAGAGAACAACCAAUAGAGCAGUCGAGUGCUGUGUGUAACCAGAACCGAGCCUGGUACCAGCUGAGUCGCCAAAACGAAAAUUCGAGAGACGAGCAUACUCUAACCCUCGUAUCAUGCAUGUAUGUUUUUGGAGAUGAUUUGACCAUUAAUUUCGUAUACCCUUCCUUAACCCUUAUUUCGUUGAACAUGUUCUACGAUUCCUCUGUAGAAUCCGGAACAGAGACGAAGCGAACCCGAGUCAGCCGACGAACUCGACAACAAAAUCGAGCAAGCAACCCACUACGAGUCUACGACGCCCAGGAGAACGAACGAGAUGUACGAUCGCUUUUUCGAGUCUAAUUCUCAAGGAUUCCCCCCCAAAACAUUAACAGAGAGAGCAUCCGGAUGAGGGAAGGGAAGGGAAGGGGGCAGGGAUGGUCACUGACCGGGCUUGCGCGCGCGGAGCCGCGCGGCGAC
RNAcentral lists this long non-coding RNA (639 nucleotides) under Setaria viridis. Its description in RNAcentral is "long non-coding RNA (SVIR_LNC006246)". Lineage: Eukaryota; Viridiplantae; Streptophyta; Magnoliopsida; Poales; Poaceae. The record is from RNAcentral.